Etheostoma spectabile (orangethroat darter) is the source of this 515-nucleotide long non-coding RNA. RefSeq lists it as uncharacterized. The transcript is spliced from 4 exons. The record is from RefSeq and is a predicted model, not a curated record. Lineage: Eukaryota; Metazoa; Chordata; Actinopteri; Perciformes; Percidae.
AACGGGACAGUUGGGUUUAGGAGAAGAAGAAAGGGACAGUUGGGUUAGGAGAAGAAGAACGGGACAGUUGGGUUUAGGAGAAGAAGAGCGGGACAGUUGGGUUUAGGAAAAGAACGGUACAGUUGGGUUUAGGAGAAGAAGAAAGGGACAGUUGGGUUUAGGAGAAGAAGAAAGGGACAGUUGGUUUACGAGAAGAAGAACGGUACAGUUGGGUUUAGGAGAAGAAGAACGGGACAGUUGGGUUUAGGAGAAGAAGAACGGGACAGUUGGGUUUAGGAGAAGAAGAACGGGACAGUUGGGUUUAGGAGAAGAAGAACGGGACAGUUGGGUUUAGGAGAAGAAGAACAGGACAGUUGGGUUUAGGUAAAGAAGAACGGGACAGUUGGGUUUAGGUAAAGAAGAACGGGACAGCUGGGUUUAGGAGAAGAAGAACGGGACAGCUGGGUUUAGAGAAGAACGGGACAGCUGGGUUUAGGAGAAGAAGAACGGGACAGUUGGGUUUAGGAAAAAAAGAA